GACAGCCCAAUACGGAAAAAAUUCGAAGCCAAUGUUGACAGAAAAAAAAAAAAAAGCCACCUUUCCUGAACAAGGUUUCAUUUUACCACCACCAAGGUCAACGUGUAUUUUAGUUCAACGUACAACUAGCUGAACAGGACAACCAUCUGGCACAAACACAGUCUUUGACACCAUCUCUGACAAUCCCUUUCAAAUUUUAGAACUGCGAGUACUUCAUGUAUGAUCUCUAACAUACUGACUCAGCAUUUCCGGAGAUGGAAGCAUUACAAGUGUCCUAGGUAAUGAACCUGGUUCGAAACACACAGCCUUACUGCACUUCAGAAUUCCCCAACCUGCAAAAAUCCCACAGGAGGUGAGCCGGACACUCUUCUCUCUCACUCUCGCUCCUGGAUGCUCCUGGUCCGGAAGCACAGCUUACAGGCAGCGUUUAUGAGCAUGGACUUUGGAGUCCUCCAUCUGUCACCUACUCUGUGAUCUGGAGCAAGCUACUGCACCAUUUUAGACUCCAGUGUCCCUCUGGUAAGAGAGCUAGUAGUGCCUUUCCUCCUAAAACUGGCUGCGAGGAGAAAAUGCGACGGUUCCCAUCAAGUACUGAACAAGUAAAAGCUCAAUAAAAAUGAGCCACAUCCUACAUCCAUAUCUCUGACACCAAGCAACCACUUCUUUUACAUUUUGAAAGUCUCUAAAAGCAAGAGAAGCGUGGUGGAGGAACAUGAAGCUGAAGGCUGACAUCAAUCAACACUUGUAGGCUUUUUAAACAAUCGAGGUGAAUCAAGAAUUCAAAAUCAAGAAGAAUCAAAAGGUCUGUACAAAAGGGCCAACCACCAAACAGUAAGCAAUGACAAGAGAUUAAAUGCAAAACACCAAGUUGCUAAGUUAUAGGGAAGCUGCUGUUCAUCUGGACCUUUGCCCAGAACACAAAAAUUUGGAGGAGAAAUGUUGGCGGUUUAAACCGACAAGGGUUCUAAAUUUGCUGCCUCAUUGCUUUAUCUGGACAGCUAAAUCUUGAUCUUGCAGAAGCUUCCUUUGAUACUGUUUCUACCAAAAUGGCCAUAACCGCACUGGAAAAUCCAACAGGGUGCCAAAUCUCUUAUGCGGAAAUCCAGUGCUCAAAACACACCUAGAGAAAAGGGGCACCUGCCUGGCUCAGUUAGUGAAGCAUCCAACUCUUGAUCUCGGGGUCAUGAGUUUGAGCCCCACCUUGGGAUUACUUAAACAAAACACCUAGAGAAUGUUUACAGCGAAGAUCAGAAAUCCUCCGCUUUAGAUCAACCCAAGAUUCUGGCAAUGGAGGCAACGGAGUAUUUUUUUAAAAACGCUCAAAAUCCUUUAAGGUAACUAAAUGCAGAGCAAAAUUAUUUGUAUGUUCCCCGGGUUAUGGCCGCCUUCCUUUGAUAAAAAGGUUUCUUUCUUUUCUUCCUCCCCCCCAAAAGA
This is a long non-coding RNA of Suricata suricatta (meerkat), 1434 nucleotides long. RefSeq lists it as uncharacterized. The transcript is spliced from 4 exons. The record is from RefSeq and is a predicted model, not a curated record. NCBI's taxonomy places the organism in Eukaryota, Metazoa, Chordata, Mammalia, Carnivora, Herpestidae.